CUCCCGCAGUUCCGCGGUCUGGGUGAGGGGCGCUGCGCCCCCCGACGGCGGGCGUGGGGGAGGGGAGGCCGCUCACCCCCAGAAACGCGCGGACGAGGCGGGACACACCCCUGCGAAGCGCCUCUGGCUGACACCCCUCGGGAUACCGCCCCGCCCCGGGCCCAUCCUCGGUCCCUGCUGCUUGCCUGGGGGUCCUGGACCCCUCGCUCCGGUCCUCUGCAGGCCUGGGGCUGGGCGCCGAACCUUUCCUGCUGCGAGUGGAUGCGCAAAGCACUUACUGCUGCUGGGUGCGAAGGCGCAGCAAGACAGUUAAUUUUAGAAAGAAAAACCGUUGAAAUACCAGACAUAAAUGGAAGAUCAGUAGCUCUCACCUCAAACCGAAGGUGAUCAUAAAACCAGGGACAACGCAGGUAUAACAUUGCGGCCACGGGGUGGCCCGUCACCGCCCUGAGCCUGGCUCCUCUGGGUGCUAGAGCAGCGAGGUGCUUCAAGGCUUAGCGUCCCCGACCCGAAACUUCCUGCGAGAGAAGCAACGUUUGGAGGCGAACGGCAAAGGGCGCCUCGCUGUUCCGCGUGUCUUCGCGCGGGCCUGAAGCGUAGCUCGCGGGCCUCCCGUGGGCCGGAUCCAGCUUGCGAACAGUAACUCACCUAAUCGUUAGGACCAACCUGUGAGACAGAGACCCCUGUUGUUCCUGAUGUUACAGUGGGGACGUGGCCCAGUGGUCAGCAACUCGUGUGGGGCUGCCCAGCAUUGCGUUAGAGGGUCUGAGCGCGGGAGCUGGGGCUGGGUCGCCCCCGGCCACACCGGGCGCAGGGCAGUCCCCACCACUGCACAAAUGAGAAAUGUAGCCUCACGGCACGAAGCCCGGA
Long non-coding RNA from Felis catus (domestic cat), 870 nucleotides. RefSeq lists it as uncharacterized. Lineage: Eukaryota; Metazoa; Chordata; Mammalia; Carnivora; Felidae. The transcript has 2 exons. The record is from RefSeq and is a predicted model, not a curated record.